This 465-nucleotide ribosomal RNA is filed under the name uncultured bacterium. RNAcentral describes it as "partial 16S ribosomal RNA". It matches the Rfam family "Bacterial small subunit ribosomal RNA", at positions 28 to 507 of the family's 1533-position model. The record is from RNAcentral.
GACGAACGCUGGCGGCGUGCUUAACACAUGCAAGUCGAACGGAAAGGCCCCUUUGGGGGUACUCGAGUGGCGAACGGGUGAGUAACACGUGAGUAACCUGCCCUUGACUUCGGGAUAACUUCAGGAAACUGGGGCUAAUACCGGAUAGGAAUCCUUGCUGCAUGGUGGGGGUUGGAAAGCUUCGGCGGUUUUGGAUGGACUCGCGGCUUAUCAGCUUGUUGGUGGGGUAGUGGCUUACCAAGGCUUUGACGGGUAGCCGGCCUGAGAGGGCGACCGGCCACAUUGGGACUGAGAGACGGCCCAGACUCCUACGGGAGGCAGCAGUGGGGAAUAUUGCACAAUGGGCGGAAGCCUGAUGCAGCAACGCCGCGGGCGGGAUGACGGCCUUAGGGUUGUAAACCGCUUUCAGCAGGGGCGAAGCUUGUGGUGACGGUACCUGCAGAAGAAGCACCGGCUAACUACGUG